Molecule: ribosomal RNA, 441 nt
Filed under: uncultured bacterium
Lineage: Bacteria
Description: bacterial SSU rRNA
Rfam family: Bacterial small subunit ribosomal RNA
Source: RNAcentral
AACGCGAAGAACCUUACCUGGGCUCGAAAUGUAGAGGACGUUACAAGAGAUUGUAAUUCCCGUAAGGGUCUCUAUAUAGGUGCUGCAUGGCUGUCGUCAGCUCGUGCCGUGAGAUGUUGGGUUAAGUCCCGCAACGAGCGCAACCCCUGCCCUUAGUUGCCACCGGGUAAUGCCGAGCACUCUAUGGGGACUGCACGGGUCAACCGUGAGGAAGGCGGGGAUGACGUCAAGUCAUCAUGGCCCUUAUGUCCAGGGCUACAAGCGUGCUACAAUGGAUUACACAAAGGGUUGCAAACUCGCGAGAGCCAGCUAAUCCCAAAAAGUAAUCCUCAGUUCGGAUCGGAGUCUGCAACUCGACUCCGUGAAGUUGGAAUCGCUAGUAAUCGCGGAUCAGCCACGCCGCGGUGAAUACGUUCCCGGGCCUUGUACACACCGGUACUA